AACGAACGCUGGCGGCAGGCUUAACACAUGCAAGUCGAACGCAUCCUUCGGGGUGAGUGGCAGACGGGUGAGUAACGCGUGGGAACGUGCCCUUCAGUUCGGGAUAACCCAGGGAAACUUGGGCUAAUACCGGAUACGUGCGAGAGCAGAAAGAUUUAUCGCUGAAGGAUCGGCCCGCGUCUGAGUAGCUAGUUGGUGGGGUAAUGGCCCACCAAGGCGACGAUCAGUAGCUGGUCUGAGAGGAUCCUCAGCCACAUUGGGACUGAGACACGGCCCAAACUCCUACGGGAGGCAGCAGUGGGGAAUAUUGGACAAUGGGCGCAAGCCUGAUCCAGCCAUGCCGCGUGAGUGAUGAAGGCCUUAGGGUUGUAAAGCUCUUUCGUCCGGGACGAUAAUGACGGUACCGGAAGAAGAAGCCCCGGCUAACUUCGUGCCAGCAGCCGCAGUAA
RNAcentral lists this ribosomal RNA (449 nucleotides) under uncultured bacterium. Its description in RNAcentral is "partial 16S ribosomal RNA". It matches the Rfam family "Bacterial small subunit ribosomal RNA", at positions 29 to 523 of the family's 1533-position model. The record is from RNAcentral.